AAACUUUCAACAACGGAUCUCUUGGUUCUGGCAACGAUGAAGAACGCAGCGAAAUGCGAUAAGUAAUGUGAAUUGCAGAAUUCAGUGAAUCAUCGAAUCUUUGAACGCACAUUGCGCCCCCUGGUAUUCCGGGGGGCACACCUGUUCGAGCGCCAUUUCU
Molecule: ribosomal RNA, 160 nt
Filed under: Venturia inaequalis
Lineage: Eukaryota; Fungi; Ascomycota; Dothideomycetes; Venturiales; Venturiaceae
Description: 5.8S ribosomal RNA
Rfam family: 5.8S ribosomal RNA
About the family: 5.8S ribosomal RNA (5.8S rRNA) is a component of the large subunit of the eukaryotic ribosome.
Source: RNAcentral